Molecule: ribosomal RNA, 426 nt
Filed under: uncultured bacterium
Lineage: Bacteria
Description: bacterial SSU rRNA
Rfam family: Bacterial small subunit ribosomal RNA
Source: RNAcentral
GUGAGGAAUAUUGCACAAUGGGGGAAACCCUGAUGCAGCGACGCCGCGUGGGUGAUGAAGGUUUUCGGAUCGUAAAGCCCUUUUCUGCAUGACGAGAACGGACGGUAGUGCAGGAAUAAGUGUCGGCUAACUACGUGCCAGCAGCCGCGGUAAAACGUAGGACACAAGCGUUAUCCGGAAUUACUGGGCGUAAAGGGAGUGCAGGCGGUUGCGUAAGUUAGGCGUGAAAGACUUCGGCUAAACCGGGGGAGGUCGUCUGAUACUGCGUAACUAGAGUGUGGUAGAGGCGUGUAGAAUUCCGGGUGUAGUGGUGAAAUGCGUAGAGAUCCGGAGGAAUACCAGUGGCGAAGGCGGCACGCUGGGCCAUAACUGACGCUAAGACUCGAAAGCAUGGGUAGCGAACGGGAUUAGAAACCCCGGUAGUCC